CAGCCCUAAACGAUGCGCGUUAGGUGUAUCGGUGACCACGAGUCACCGAGGUGCCGAAGGGAAACCGUGAAACGUGCCGCCUGGGAAGUACGGUCGCAAGGCUGAAACUUAAAGGAAUUGGGCGGGGGAGCACAACAACGGGUGGAGCUUGCGGUUUAAUUUGGAUUCAACGCCGGAAAUCUUACCGGGACCGACAGCAACAUGAAGGCCAAGCUGAAGACUUUGCCGGAUUAGCUGAGAGGAGGUGCAUGGCGUAGUCGUGU
This 263-nucleotide ribosomal RNA is filed under the name uncultured archaeon. Its description in RNAcentral is "partial 16S ribosomal RNA". It matches the Rfam family "Archaeal small subunit ribosomal RNA", at positions 748 to 1009 of the family's 1478-position model. The record is from RNAcentral.